Suricata suricatta (meerkat) is the source of this 567-nucleotide long non-coding RNA. RefSeq lists it as uncharacterized. The transcript is spliced from 4 exons. Lineage: Eukaryota; Metazoa; Chordata; Mammalia; Carnivora; Herpestidae. The record is from RefSeq and is a predicted model, not a curated record.
UUGUCUUUCUGGACACAAGCAUGGCUGGCUGAGAGAGAUCUCAAACGCGUGUAUGUUAUGCUUUCUCAAAGGGGUUGAAAGUUGUUUUCCCAUCUGUCUGGAGACAAGAAUCAUAAAGAAAUUUCCUUAAGAAUGGACAUAAAACCUCCAGUGCCUCCAUCACAGGACGGCCAAGAGCAGGUACGAGAUAAUUCACGCCUCCGGGAGGAAGGAAACUCACAGGUACUCCAUCCAACCCACGCACCAACUCUAGAAACAGGUUCCUACAGCCUGCCUGUGCACCUUAUGAAGCAUUCCUCUGAAUUAAAAUGUUUAUAAGGACAUGGUGAUAAAUUUGCACUGAUUUACAUGUGAUACUGAUUUUUGUGAAUGUGGGUUAGAUUACGGGUGUGCUAUAAGGUCAAAGGUCAGAGAAGCUUUAGCUGGAUCACACCUAUUUUCUGACUUCAUCAAGGCCUUACCUCCUCACAGAAGGAAACAUUUAAAAACACAUAAAGACCAAGGAGGCACUGACUUAAUCAAAGGCUCUUGUUCUUUCUGAAAAAGACUCACAGAAACCCAGUCAAA